Long non-coding RNA from Ananas comosus (pineapple), 331 nucleotides. RefSeq lists it as uncharacterized. The record is from RefSeq and is a predicted model, not a curated record. The transcript is spliced from 5 exons. Lineage: Eukaryota; Viridiplantae; Streptophyta; Magnoliopsida; Poales; Bromeliaceae.
GUUUGUUAGGGUUUUCUGCAGCUAGACAGGAGAUAUCUAGUUGUGAUUUACCCACUUUGAUCCAGGGAAAAGUUGCUUUGAGGCUUGAUAUAGGUCUUUGGAGCCUCUUUAAGCGGAACGUGUACUCUUAGAAGCUGGUUUGGAGGGUAUUCUAAUUAAGGCGAGAGUGCGACCGAGCUUUGGAUCACCUUUAGUGAACCUGUGAGAGCUCUUGGAGACUCAUCUUGAGCAGAGUUGAGACCUUGUGGAGCUGAUUUUGGGAGUUCCUUUGGACUGAUUGGAGCUUUGUAAUAGAGCCAUCUACAGGAGAGGCUAGGGAUCGUGGCAAGGG